GCCUCCUUAGCUCAGGGGUAGAGCAGCUCCCUCGUAAAGAGCAGGUCGGCGGUUCAAAUCCGCCAGGGGGCU
Molecule: transfer RNA, 72 nt
Filed under: Glutamicibacter uratoxydans
Lineage: Bacteria; Bacillati; Actinomycetota; Actinomycetes; Micrococcales; Micrococcaceae
Also listed under: 21 other names
Description: tRNA-Thr
Rfam family: tRNA
About the family: Transfer RNA (tRNA) molecules are approximately 80 nucleotides in length.
Source: RNAcentral